RNAcentral lists this ribosomal RNA (253 nucleotides) under uncultured bacterium. Its description in RNAcentral is "partial 16S ribosomal RNA". It matches the Rfam family "Bacterial small subunit ribosomal RNA", at positions 524 to 776 of the family's 1533-position model. The record is from RNAcentral.
UACGUAGGGUGCGAGCGUUAAUCGGAAUUACUGGGCGUAAAGCGUGCGCAGGCGGUUCGCCAAGUCAGGUGUGAAAUCCCCGGGCUUAACCUGGGAAUUGCGCUUGAAACUAGCGGGCUUGAGUGCGGCAGAGGGGGGUGGAAUUCCACGUGUAGCAGUGAAAUGCGUAGAUAUACGGAGGAACACCAGCGGCGAAGGCGGGUAGCUGGGCCAACACUGACGCUGAUGCGCGAAAGCUAGGGGAGCAAACGGG